Molecule: ribosomal RNA, 486 nt
Filed under: uncultured bacterium
Lineage: Bacteria
Description: bacterial SSU rRNA
Rfam family: Bacterial small subunit ribosomal RNA
Source: RNAcentral
AUUGAACGCUGGCGGAAUGCUUUACACAUGCAAGUCGAACGGCAGCAUAGGUGCUUGCACCUGAUGGCGAGUGGCGAACGGGUGAGUAAUACAUCGGAACGUGCCCAGUCGUGGGGGAUAACGUAGCGAAAGUUACGCUAAUACCGCAUACGAUCUAAGGAUGAAAGCGGGGGACCGUAAGGCCUCGCGCGAUUGGAGCGGCCGAUGUCAGAUUAGGUAGUUGGUGGGGUAAAGGCUCACCAAGCCAACGAUCUGUAGCUGGUCUGAGAGGACGACCAGCCACACUGGAACUGAGACACGGUCCAGACUCCUACGGGAGGCAGCAGUGGGGAAUUUUGGACAAUGGACGCAAGUCUGAUCCAGCCAUUCCGCGUGCAGGAUGAAGGCCCUCGGGUUGUAAACUGCUUUUGUACGGAACGAAAAGGCUCUUCCUAAUACGAGGGGCUCAUGACGGUACCGUAAGAAUAAGCCCCGGCUAACUACGUG